AUAAAACGAUGCACACAACUAUUUAUUUUCUAUUUCAAGGAACGAGUAUGUUAAGGGGUUAAUGUCAGUGUUGCUCUCUCAUGUCAUUAUCACCCAUUAGUUCAGCUGAAACUCCACACUCACUGAGGCGAGCUGAGGUGUCGACAAACAACCCUGUGACCUUUGAACGGGAUUGUUUGGCCUUACUGCACCACGAGCGGACACAACACAGACUCCCUCAUCAGGCCUGACAGAUGUGUCGCUGUAUAAACUCUACACCACUCGAUGGGAUGUGAGGCCACUUGGAGAGAGACGUGCUGUCCUCCGGGUUGAGGUAUGUGCACACGAAACACAAGACGAACACGCGUGUUUUUCCGACCGACGUCCGUCUCGCCCUUCCUCAGCUCGAUGUCGGCGUUCCUGAGCUUCAGGAUCCCUGCACAGUCGAUUCUGCAAGAAAGGCAUAUAUUUGUAAGAAAAACAGACAAAGAAAAAGUGGGAUCUCAAGGACUUUGGUGCCGUGGAUAACCUUCUCAUAACUGGUGGUGGUAACCGUCUUCCCAGUGAUGCGGUGCACUUGAUAAAAGGCGUGCGGCUUGAGGAUGCGCUCAUCUGCUGUACCAAUGAAGAUCUGCAGGCCAAGUGGCUCCUUGCCUCUGUAGCC
This is a long non-coding RNA of Gymnodraco acuticeps, 643 nucleotides long. RefSeq lists it as uncharacterized. The transcript has 3 exons. Lineage: Eukaryota; Metazoa; Chordata; Actinopteri; Perciformes; Bathydraconidae. The record is from RefSeq and is a predicted model, not a curated record.